Molecule: ribosomal RNA, 501 nt
Filed under: uncultured bacterium
Lineage: Bacteria
Description: partial 16S ribosomal RNA
Rfam family: Bacterial small subunit ribosomal RNA
Source: RNAcentral
AUUGAACGCUGGCGGCAGGCUUAACACAUGCAAGUCGAGCGGAGAUGAGGUGCUUGCACCUUAUCUUAGCGGCGGACGGGUGAGUAAUGCUUAGGAAUCUGCCUAUUAGUGGGGGACAACAUUCCGAAAGGAAUGCUAAUACCGCAUACGUCCUACGGGAGAAAGCAGGGGAUCUUCGGACCUUGCGCUAAUAGAUGAGCCUAAGUCGGAUUAGCUAGUUGGUGGGGUAAAGGCCUACCAAGGCGACGAUCUGUAGCGGGUCUGAGAGGAUGAUCCGACUAGCGGGGAGUGAGACGCGGCCCAGACUCCUAAGGGAGGGAGCAGUGGGGGAUAUUGGACAAUGGGGGGAACCCUGAUACAGCCAUGCCGCGUGUGUGAAGAAGGCCUUAGGGUUGUAAAGCACUUUAAGCGAGGAGGAGGCUACUGAGACUAAUACUCUUGGAUAGUGGACGUUACUCGCAGAAUAAGCACCGGCUAACUCUGUGCCAGCCGCCGCCGUAA